ACUCUUAAUAGUCUUCCCAUCCGAUAUAAGAAACCCAACCUUUCGCCUUCUAACCCUAGUUUACUGUUUUCUUCAGAGUCACUCUGUUGAAACGAAACGAAACUUGUCGAUGGACAGAAACAUCCCAAUGGACGGGAAAUUCGCUGCAGUUGGUAAGACAAGCGUGUUCUGGGACGUGGAGGAUUUCCCAAUCCCAAAGGGUCUCGAUCCUUUCUCGAUCAAAUCAGCUCUUGCGAACAUCGGUUACUAUUGGUGAGGUGUCCUCAAAUAUGGGCUUAUGUUGUUGAUAAGAAAACGUUCACUGAUGAUGAUAACUAAGUAAAGUUCCAGGGGAUAAAUAUGCAAGACUUAGUGGGAUGUUAUUGGACCAGUGUGAUAGGGGGCCAAAUUUGGUGGUAAUCUCAAAAAACAUCAAAGAAGAAACCGACUUCAUCCGUAUUCUUGAAGCUUUGAGAGAUAUGUGUUUCAAUGUUUUCUUAGCACAACCAGGAGUGAUUGCAGACUACACAAUAACCUUUUUAUGAAUAUUUUUUGGUGGUCUUGAUCUAAUUACAGCUUGAUGAAUGAGUUGAUUUCGUGAAAGAAACAAGUAGGUAAGGUGCACCAAAUGUGAGCCUUUUCUAAUUUUCCCCACUCUGUUUCUUCCUUGCAAAACCAGGUUUCAAAAGAUCCUACUUGGUGUUCUUGAUGGAAAGACUGGUGCAACAAUGCUUCCACAAGCUAGAGGAUCCAAUCGAGAACCGUGACGAGGCCUUUUUUUUGUAAGCAAUAUUCGCCUGUGGCCUAAACCAGGUUCCCGGAUGCUCUUCCAUAGAUCUAUUCCUCCAAGGCUCCAACACAAACUGCUUUGAAUCUAUGUCAAACCACUGCAGUUGAUUCCUUCAGACAGAGUACCUUGUCAUGCUCUGCUAAAUGCGGGUGCAAAUUUCUUCUUUAAGUGUUUGUAAUAAAGUGACUAAAGACAUAUGAAAACUAGUAAUGCUUAUUACAUAUAUAUCUCAA
Molecule: long non-coding RNA, 1002 nt
Organism: Camelina sativa (false flax)
Lineage: Eukaryota; Viridiplantae; Streptophyta; Magnoliopsida; Brassicales; Brassicaceae
Source: RefSeq, a predicted model, not a curated record